ACGAACGCUGGCGGCGUGCCUAAUACAUGCAAGUUGAGCGAUGAAGAUUGGUGCUUGCACCAAUUUGAAGAGCAGCGAACGGGUGAGUAACGCGUGGGGAAUCUGCCUUUGAGCGGGGGACAACAUUUGGAAACGAAUGCUAAUACCGCAUAACAACUUUAAACAUAAGUUUUAAGUUUGAAAGAUGCAAUUGCAUCACUCAAAGAUGAUCCCGCGUUGUAUUAGCUAGUUGGUGAGGUAAAGGCUCACCAAGGCGAUGAUACAUAGCCGACCUGAGAGGGUGAUCGGCCACAUUGGGACUGAGACACGGCCCAAACUCCUACGGGAGGCAGCAGUAGGGAAACUUCGGCAAAGGACGAAAGUCUGGCCGAGCAACGCCGCGUGAGUGAAGAAGGUUUUCGGAUCGUAAAACUCUGUUGGUAGAGAAGAACGUUGGUGAGAGUGGAAAGCUCAUCAAGUGACGGUAACUACCCAGAAAGGGACGGCUAACUACGUG
RNAcentral lists this ribosomal RNA (496 nucleotides) under uncultured bacterium. RNAcentral describes it as "partial 16S ribosomal RNA". It matches the Rfam family "Bacterial small subunit ribosomal RNA", at positions 29 to 507 of the family's 1533-position model. The record is from RNAcentral.